This is a non-coding RNA of Xyrichtys novacula (pearly razorfish), 550 nucleotides long. NCBI's taxonomy places the organism in Eukaryota, Metazoa, Chordata, Actinopteri, Labriformes, Labridae. The record is from the annotation of a GenBank genome assembly.
CUCUUCUUAGCCCAUAUUUAUUAUUCUCUUCUGCAUCUCAACAGGAGUAAUCUCAAUAGCCAAAAGCGAACGGGGAAACAGGUCAAAAUUAAGUACAAAAACAUUCUACAAAGUGGUAAGUAGCCUUUGCUGACAUGCGAAUUAUGAAUGUAAAAAUAGGAGCUUGAGCUGUUACUAUGUACAAUUGCAGCAGUCCUCUGAAGACAUCCCCCAAUUAACCCCAGCACUACUUGUUCAAGGUACACACUGCUACUUAUCCUCCAGCUGGGGGUCUCUCAGGUAUCUCUAACAGCUUGUCUUUGCCUUUUAGUGUGUGGGGACACAAUAAAUUUGCUUGACCCACCAACUCAAGAUGCUGACAUCAUCCCUGAUCCAUGUGUGCGUAUGUCAGAUGUAUCUUGAAUUCUAUAAGUGCAAGUCUGUCUUGUCAUGCUUUAAAUACUUUGAUGUGCAUCAAUCUGCAGGGUGGAGGACCAUCUGCCACAAGGGCCUGUGAGGAGGAGGAGGAGGACACCAUAUCAGCCCAAACUGAUCUGCAAGAGGUCAGGAC